RNAcentral lists this ribosomal RNA (920 nucleotides) under Furia virescens. RNAcentral's name for it is "eukaryotic LSU rRNA". It matches the Rfam family "Eukaryotic large subunit ribosomal RNA", at positions 69 to 932 of the family's 3401-position model. The record is from RNAcentral. Lineage: Eukaryota; Fungi; Entomophthoromycota; Entomophthoromycetes; Entomophthorales; Entomophthoraceae.
CCAGGAUUCCCUUAGUAAUGGCGAAUGAACAGGGAAAAGCCCAAUUUUAAAAUCACUUUACGGUGAAUUGUAGUUUAUAAGAGGGUAGAACUAUGCUGCCUUGCCUUAAGUUUCUUGAAAAAGAACUACAAAGAGGGUGAAAUACCCGUUUUGUUGUAAGUAGUAGUAUAGAACUUAACUCUAAAGAGUCAUGUUGCUUGGGAAUGCAGCAUAAAUUGGGAGGUAAAUUCCUUCUAAGGCUAAAUACUGGUAGGAGUCCGAUAGCAAACAAGUACCUUAAGGGAAAGAUGAAAGAGAACCUUGAAAAGGGUCUCAAAAGAAAGUGAAAUUGUUAUAAGGAAACCGCUUAAAACUUGUAUAAUCGGUUUAAUAAUAUAUAGGGAAGCAAUUCUUUUAUUAUUAUUUUAUGGGUGACUAUUGCUCAGGUUUGAGCUUAUAAAUUUUAGAGGAAGGUAAGUUGGAUUUCGGUCUAACUUCUUACAGACUCUGGUAAUUUUUAAAGUUUGGGCCAGUAUAGAAAGUCAUAUGGUAGCUAGCUCUUGGUAUAAAUAAAAUAAUAGAUUUAUCUAGCAUUUUAUUUAUAUUAAGGUCUAGUACUGCUAAAUGCUUUAAUAGUUAAAAAGGUUUAAGCGACCCGUCUUGAAACACGGACCAAGGAGUCUAACAUAUAUGCAAGUAUUAUGGUAUAAAACUAAUAUGCGCAAUGAAAGUAAUUUUAAGGUAGGAUCCUGCAAGGGUGCACUAUCAACCGAGCUAAAGGGAUUUUUUUUCUUUGGUUUGAGUAAGAGCAUAUAUGUUGGUACCCGAAAGAUGGUGAACUAUGCCUGAAUAGGGUGAAGCCAGGGGAAACCCUGGUGGAAGCUCGUAGCGAUUCUGACGUGCAAAUCGAUCGUCAAAUUUGGGUAUAGGGGCGAAAGACU